This 694-nucleotide unclassified non-coding RNA is filed under the name Hevea brasiliensis (rubber tree). Lineage: Eukaryota; Viridiplantae; Streptophyta; Magnoliopsida; Malpighiales; Euphorbiaceae. The record is from RNAcentral.
AAACACUUUGAUUUUAUUGACUUAGAAUAUCAAAUCGAUGUGAUUAUCAAGAGAAGUUUCGGUGAUCCAGAUUACCAUUGGAUUAUCUCUAGAGAGAGAGAGAGAAUCUCAUUCCCCCAAUUACACUUGUGCAAGACCAUCCCAAGAAUAGCUUUGGUUGGUGAAUAACAUCAAUGCAUUAUCAUCAUCUGGAACCCUAACACAUCACUCGAGCAGCGAGAUGAUCUCCAAUGCAAUGGUACACAGAUGCUCCAGCGCCUCCGCUCUCCUCGCCAGCUCCGCCGGAUACACCACCUUCGGCUUCUGCUUAAACAGGACCUUGCACACCCUCGGAUACUCCGCAGCAGCACUGACCUGAACAUAUGCAUAGUCAUACGACUCAGCCGCCAUCUGGUCCAACGACGACUGAAGCGCCUCCUUGGCGUACGCGUACUUGGUUGAACAAGUAGUGAGCAAGGAACGCAGUACGGGGUCCGAGGAGUUUUGGGCGAGGGUGGCGGUGUAGGCGGAGGUGUUGGUGGCGUUUGAGACGGCGAGGUUGAUGGCGAUGGUGGAGAGGCCCUUAACGUCGGCGGUGGGGCUGUGGGGGUCGGAGUCGAGGGAGGAGACGCAGAAGUCGUAGUAGGUGGUGGUGUUGCAGGUUUUUCGGAUGAGUUGGGUGGGGGCGGAUAAGGAGAAGGGGAGGAGGAGGAGG